CAAAAUUUUUAUUUCUGGAAAAGGCAACAACAAGAACAAGAUGGUGGGUGUUUGGGUGAGGUGAGAAGAAGACCGGCGGAUGGAGUCAAACUCGAGGUUUGAUAGUGAAGACUCUGGAUUUAAUUGGAGGCCUUCUUUUUCUCACAAGGUUCACCAAAUCCACCACUCGUUGGGACCACGCUAAAAUUAUUGCUCGUUCUCUUAGCGGCGAAAAGGCUCUUCCUCUUUUUUUCAUUGAAAUUUUGAAGCUUUUCCAUUACUUAUAUUUCAUUUCAUCUCAAUUUCAGUUUUUCAAUGGUAGUUCUCGCAGGAGCAAGCCUCUAGAAAUCCAGAUAGUUACUUCAACAUCAGAGCACUUGCUUGCCCUGCAACAGAGUUGGUGGAUGUGUCAAAAGUUUUAUAUUCAGAACAGGUUUUUGGUUCAAUCUUUCCUGUUUCAAAAUCUUCGGAAUAUUCACCAAUUUAGUGAUCAUCACUUUUUAUGGACUAGGCAUUUUGGCGGACUCCCCAAAAACCUUUCCGGCAGGUAAUCGGUUUUGCGGAACGAUAGACGAUGCACCGGACACACAAGGAUGGAAGUUUUGAUUACAUUAUAGCUUUUAUUCUAAACCUGUUUCCUUUGAUCACAUAACACUUUUUGGUGGAAUGCCUUUACCUCAUACGAUGCUGACUGCCUUUUGGUUGCAGAGGAUAUAUAUGGUGAAACCUUGUCCAAAAGAUUUGAAGUGCGAUGUUGAGGUAAGUACUUGUGCAAUUAGAGAUGCGGAUGAAUACUAGAAUUUCUGUGAUCGUCCAAGGGACCAACGCCCGCUACCUGAAGAAGUUAUCGGUAAUGGAGCAACAUACUGCACUUCAGAACUCUCGGUUUUGAAGAACAAUGAGAUACAUACCUGGGAUAGGGGUUACGACGGCGAUGGAAAUCAGGUUUGGGGAGCGAAGGAAGGUCCUUAUGAGUUCGAGCCUGCACCGUUUACACCUCGGAAUUUUGCGCCGUCGCAGACGUUGGAGAAGAGGAUAGAGAGAUCAUUGUGUUGGAAGAAUGAUUGAUGGUUUACAUAUAUUCUUAAUCUGUAAAAUUUCAACUCCUUUACGUAAGCUUGAGUGAAGUUCCUUGGCUUUGCCCUUUAGAGGGAUCAUGCAGUGGACGAUAUGGGCUGAGAUUAUUUGAUUUCAUUCGACCGCUCAAAAUUCCCAGAAUUUUACUGCAAACCCUGUAGGAUUCGCAGGCUUUCUUAAUUACAUUCAACCACGUCCACGAUUGUUGCAGACCUGCAUUAA
This is a long non-coding RNA of Hibiscus syriacus, 1278 nucleotides long. RefSeq lists it as uncharacterized. The transcript is spliced from 5 exons. The record is from RefSeq and is a predicted model, not a curated record. Lineage: Eukaryota; Viridiplantae; Streptophyta; Magnoliopsida; Malvales; Malvaceae.